RNAcentral lists this ribosomal RNA (253 nucleotides) under uncultured bacterium. Its description in RNAcentral is "partial 16S ribosomal RNA". It matches the Rfam family "Bacterial small subunit ribosomal RNA", at positions 524 to 776 of the family's 1533-position model. The record is from RNAcentral.
UACGUAGGGGGCAAGCGUUGUCCGGAUUUAUUGGGCGUAAAGAGCGUGUAGGCGGUUAGGUAGGUCCGUUGUGAAAACUCGAGGCUCAACCUCGAGACGCCGAUGGAAACCAUCUGACUAGAGUCCGGAAGAGGAGAGUGGAAUUCCUGGUGUAGCGGUGAAAUGCGCAGAUAUCAGGAGGAACGCCGGUGGCGAAGGCGGAUCUCUGGGCCAUUACUGACGCUGAGGAGCGAAAGCGUGGGGAGCGAACAGG